This 497-nucleotide ribosomal RNA is filed under the name uncultured bacterium. RNAcentral describes it as "partial 16S ribosomal RNA". It matches the Rfam family "Bacterial small subunit ribosomal RNA", at positions 28 to 507 of the family's 1533-position model. The record is from RNAcentral.
GAUGAACGCUGGCGGCGUGCCUAAUACAUGCAAGUCGAGCGAACAGAUGAGGAGCUUGCUCCUCUGACGUUAGCGGCGGACGGGUGAGUAACACGUGGAUAACCUACCUAUAAGACUGGGAUAACUUCGGGAAACCGGAGCUAAUACCGGAUAAUAUAUUGAACCGCAUGGUUCAAUAGUGAAAGACGGUUUUGCUGUCACUUAUAGAUGGAUCCGCGCCGCAUUAGCUAGUUGGUAAGUUAACGGCCUACCAAGGCAACGAUGCGUAGCCGACCUGAGAGGGGGGUAGGCCACACUGGAAGUGGGACAGGGUCAAGAGGCCUAAGGGAGGGAGCAGUCGGGAAUGGUCCGCAAUAGGCGAAAGCCUGACGGAGCAAGGCGACGUGAGUGAUGGAGGUGUUGGGAUCGUAAAACUCUGUUAUUAGGGAAGAACAAAUGUGUAAGUAACUAUGCACGUAUUGACGGUACCUAAUAAGAAAGCAACGGCUAACUACGUG